Molecule: unclassified non-coding RNA, 174 nt
Filed under: uncultured Xylariales
Lineage: Eukaryota; Fungi; Ascomycota; Sordariomycetes; Xylariales
Description: sequence contains ITS1
Source: RNAcentral
CAGAGUUAUUUAACUCCUAACCUUAUGUGAACUUACCUAUGUUGCCUCGGCAGGGACGCCUACCCGGGAGCUACCCGGUACUUACCCGGGAGCUUACCCUGUAUGCAUACCUGCCGCAGGACCUUUUAAAUUCUUGUUUUGCUGUGGCACUCUGAGGAAACGAAAAUUAAGUUA